Molecule: long non-coding RNA, 3811 nt
Filed under: Citrus x clementina
Lineage: Eukaryota; Viridiplantae; Streptophyta; Magnoliopsida; Sapindales; Rutaceae
Description: Citrus clementina (C. clementina) long non-coding RNA (CCLE_LNC001509)
Source: RNAcentral
AGAAAGCCUUUUGGCUUUAAGCAUGUAUAGUAAAUUGAAAAAAAAAAAUUAUCCAUGAGUUUCUGAAAACCAAUUAACUUCAAAAUCUCUUCCAGCGCUAGGAGGAACAUCUUCAAUAACUUUUUCAUGGCCUUUUGGGUAAUAAAUCCCAGUUCUUUCAUGAGGAACCCAGCCACAAUUCCCUUCAUUUUCUCCCACAUUAUUAUUCAUCUGCUGCCUCCUCAUCACAUUUCCUUCUUCUGCAUUGGAUUUCAAUGAUGUUUCUCUCAUCAUAUCAUGAGAACUUGCUUUCUUUUGAAAGGAUUUCCUCAUUAUUGGCCUAUAUGUCUCAAAAAGACUUAACAAAUUAAUAAUGCAAAAACAAAGACUAGAAUAUUCAAACACUCAAAUGAAUGAAAGUAAUCUCUUUUUAUUGUUGUGUGGACACUGGCGAAAUCAGGAUUUUGGUUCGACAGAUGUCAUCAAUAAUAGAGAAACAACAAAUUUAAGUAGGUUAUAACACAAAAAUAUAAACAUAUGGGGGCUACAAAAUAAAAUUAUCAGACACAGAGACAAAUUUAAUUGAAGACUUUCAUAUUUCUUGAUAAUUUUUUUUAACCUGAGGCCCAUGUGGAGACAUAUUGAUUCAGUUAAUAAAACAUUUAAUUCUAUGUACUUAACCAACCACUCAUAAUUAGUAAUUACAUAGUUUGAAACUAUUAGGCCUAUUUCGAACGAACUGUUUCAUAACAAAAUUAAUUUAGAUAAACUGAAAAGAUUUAUUUACAAACAUACCAUGCAAUAAUGAAGUGCGAUUGUCAAAAUGAAAUGAUGAAAUAGCAAAGUAGAUAGAUAAUGAAAGCAUUACUUGAAAAACAUGGAGUUAAAGGUGGGAGCUCCUCUAGCAAAUGAUCCUGUCAUCUUUUUCUUCUUUUUUCUCUCACUUUCUCUCUUUCCAAACAAUGUGGGUGGAAUGAAUUGAAUUAUGAUUUAGAUAGAGAUCUCUUUAUAUAGUGAAGUUAAAUAAGAGAAUAUUGUUAUCCAUUUCUCUCAUCUCUAGGGAGAUCAUUUAUUGUUCCCGUGUACGUCAUUUUCUGUUUGGAUAAAUAUUAAAUUAUAAUACUCUUUCUUGAUCAUUGGGGAGCACUCAUUGCAGAGCAUGGCCUUCUUUUGUUUCCUUUUGUUUUUUAGUCAUCUAAGUUAUGCGACAUGGCUUGUGGACUCAGCUUUUAAAAACUUUCCCUCGAUAAGUAGUUGAAUCUAGGGGAGGUACUGUUUAGUCAUAACGAGAUUACACGAUAUAAAAUGAGAUAUAGAGGCGGAUUCACCUCAUGAUUAGUGGGACAGAGAGAAUAAUUAAAAAAAUAUAUAUUUGAGUUAUUAAUUAAUUCUGUUGAAUAUAUUAAAAUAGGCAAGUUAAAUUUAUAAAAAUAGUCUUAUAAAUUCAAAAUUUAUAAAAUUUUAACUUUGAGAAUUACAAAAACCACACUUUAAUUAAAAUAUAAAAGGUUAUGAGAUAACCCAUAUAGGUGGUUUAUUAUUAUUUAAUUUAGUUUCUAUUAAAUCUAUAAAAAUGAUUUAUAUAAACUCAUCAAGCUAUAAAAUUUGAGUUUUCGCAUUGUGUUGUUAUAUAAUUUAGCCAUCGAUAAAUCAUUUUUAUGAAUCCACCACUGAUAACAUAAAUAUAAAAAAAUUAAGUGCUCGAUUUACCUCACGCAAAUAUGACAUAAUAUUUUCGUUAACUGCCAUAAGAAACUUAAAAAUGGUAGUCAAUUAAAUAAACUAUGACCAUUGACAAAAAAUUAAUGAAAUUGUAACAGAUAUACAAAAAGAUUUUAAAAUCAUUUUGCCCUUAAUUGAUAUAAGAUGAGUCGUUAAUAAUUGCAUGUGCAAACAUCGUAUAUUCUUUAUAAUUAAUUGUGCAGAUUUUGAUGACCAUUUGUGUGUAUUGGGGUUAUGUGUUUUGUGAGUUUUUUCUACUUUUGUAAAUUUUUAUUUGUUAGUAAAAUUAUCUUCCAGUUUUUGCCCAUGCACAUAGGCAUUACGCCAAACCACGUAAAUUAUUGUAUCCUAUUUUCUUUCUAUUUGUUUAUCACCACAUUUAUAUUUCUCCAGAAGUUGUAGUAUUAGUAAUUGCUCAACCCGCAUUUCCGCAACACCCAUAAUAUUUUCAUUAGAAUUUCUUAUAACAACUUCCAACAUUGGUUAUUGAUAUUUUAAGGUUUCAUCUUAAAUAAUAAUAACAAAAUAAUUAAAAUUUUUAUCAAAAUUUAACGAAAUAUAUUGUGCUUUGAUAAACAAGAAAUGUCAACUAAAUAUAGUCAAAAUAAAUAAUAAAUUGUUAAGUCGAGUUUUGGUUUCACAUGAGUGUAAUUAUGGAGACUAGUUAUUUGAAUAAAAUUUAAUUUCUUCUGUUUAUCAUUGUAAACUUAAAUAGGGACAAAUGCAUGACUAUAAAAGAAGGGUUUGAUAAGGAUUUUUUGGGGGUACCGAUAGGACCACUCAUGAGCCAUAACAAAAUUAAGCCCAUGCGAGGCCCACCUAAUCCAUUUGUACAUUUAGCUUGAAGAAUAAGACGAUAAUAAACAAUAGGCCUAAAUAAUAAAAUGAUAUAAAAGUAAGAAUAAUGUUAAGAUACCAAUUUUUUAGUCUUAACUUCUUAAGUCUUAAUGUCACACGUUAUUCAUUUAUUAGACGAUAGAUUUCAUAACUUGUAAAAUUAUUUAACUACCAUCUAAUAAAUUAUUGUCAUAUUUGUUGAAACUUAAAUUUUGAAAUGUUUAACAUUGAGCUGAAUGCCUGAAUCUAAAUGAUUUCAUUUUCCAUUAUUGUUAUUUAUUUUAAUUUUUUUUCCCAAUCGGAUUUUGCUUUGAGAAAAUAGAAAGCUUUUUGGCUUUAAGCAUGUAUAGUAAAUUGAAAAAAAAAAUCCAUAAAUUAUCCAUGAGUUUCUGAAAACCAAUUAACUUCAAAAUCUGUUCCAGCGCUAGGAGGAACAUCUUCAAUAACUUUUUUCAUGGCCUUUUGGGUAAUAAAUCCCAGUUCUUUCAUGAGGAACCCAGCCACAAUUCCCUUCAUUUUCUCCCACAUUAUUAUUCAUCUGCUGCCUCCUUAUCACAUUUCCUUCUUCCGCAUUGGAUUUCAAUGCUGUUUCUCUCAUCAUAUCAUUAGAACUUGCUUUCUUUUGAAAGGAUUUCCUCAUUAUUGGCCUAUAUGUUUCAAAAAGACUUAACAAAUUAAUAAUGCAAAAACAAAGACUAAAAUAUUCAAACACUCAAAUGAAUGAAAGUAAUCUCUUUUUAUUAUUGCGUGGACAGUGGCGAAAUCAGGAUUUUGAUUCGACAAAUGUCAUCAAUAAAAGAGAAACAACAAAUUUAAGUAGGCUAUAACACAAAAUAAUAAUAAUAAUAAUAAUAAUAAUAAUAAUAAUAAGAGGGCUACAAAAUAAAACUGUCAAGUCACAAGAGAAUAUUGUUAUCCAUUUCUCUCAUCUCUAGGGAGAUCAUUUGUUGUUCCUGUGUACGUCAUUUUCUGUUUGGAUAAAUAUUAAAUUAUAACACUCUUUCUUGAUCAUUGGGGAGCACUCAUUGCAGAGCAUGGCCUUCUUUUGUUCCCUUUUGUUUUGUUUUUGUUUUUUAGUCAUCUAAGUUAUGGGACAUGGCUUGUGGACUCAGCUUUUAAAAACUUUCCCUCGAUAAGUAGUUGAAUCUAGGGGAGGUACUGUUUAGUCAUAACGAGAUUACACGAUAUAAAAUGAGAUACAGAGGGGGAUUCACCUCAUGAUUAGUGGGACGGAGAGAAUAAUUAAAAAAUAUUUGAGUUAUUAAUUAAUUCC